RNAcentral lists this ribosomal RNA (230 nucleotides) under uncultured bacterium. RNAcentral's name for it is "partial 16S ribosomal RNA". It matches the Rfam family "Bacterial small subunit ribosomal RNA", at positions 976 to 1204 of the family's 1533-position model. The record is from RNAcentral.
UGGGUUUGAACUGUACAGGCAACUUUCAGAGAUGAGAGCCCCUCUUCGGAGGUCUGUAUAGAGGUGCUGCAUGGCUGUCGUCAGCUCGUGUCGUGAGAUGUUGGGUUAAGUCCCGCAACGAGCGCAACCCUUGUUCAUAGUUACUAACGCGUAAUGGCGAGGACUCUAUGGAGACUGCCGGUGAUAAACCGGAGGAAGGUGGGGAUGACGUCAAGUCCUCAUGGCCUUUA